AUGGUUUCGGGCUCUUCUUGCGCAGCUUAGGUGGAAGACUGAGAUCAUGCCCUUCCGGGGGUAUGUGAGUCAUCAGUGAGAUACCACUCUGGGAGAGCUAGAAAUCUAAUGGUGAUCCUUGAAUCAGGACACUUGACAGUUUCAGGUGGGCAGUUUUACUGGGGCGGUAGCCUCCCAAAAUGUAACGGAGGCGUACAAAGGUUCCCUCAGGCUGGACGGAAAUCAGUCGUAGAGUAUAAAGGCAGAAGGGAGCUUGACUGCAAGACCUACAAGUCGAGCAGGGACGAAAGUCGGUCUUAGUGAUCCGACGGUGCCGUGUGGAAGGGCCGUCGCUCAACGGAUAAAAGUUACUCUAGGGAUAACAGGCUGAA
This 371-nucleotide ribosomal RNA is filed under the name uncultured eukaryote. RNAcentral's name for it is "LSU rRNA". It matches the Rfam family "Bacterial large subunit ribosomal RNA", at positions 2117 to 2486 of the family's 2925-position model. The record is from RNAcentral.